UUCUGAGUUGCAACUAGUUGA
This is a non-coding RNA of Caenorhabditis elegans, 21 nucleotides long. The record is from Ensembl. Lineage: Eukaryota; Metazoa; Nematoda; Chromadorea; Rhabditida; Rhabditidae.